This 460-nucleotide ribosomal RNA is filed under the name uncultured bacterium. Its description in RNAcentral is "partial 16S ribosomal RNA". It matches the Rfam family "Bacterial small subunit ribosomal RNA", at positions 338 to 795 of the family's 1533-position model. The record is from RNAcentral.
CCUACGGGGGGCAGCAGUGAGGAAUAUUGGUCAAUGGACGAGAGUCUGAACCAGCCAAGUAGCGUGAAGGAUGACUGCCCUAUGGGUUGUAAACUUCUUUUAUAUGGGAAUAAAAUGUUCCACGUGUGGGCUUUUGUAUGUACCAUAUGAAUAAGGAUCGGCUAACUCCGUGCCAGCAGCCGCGGUAAUACGGAGGAUCCGAGCGUUAUCCGGAUUUAUUGGGUGUAAAGGGAGCUUAGGUGGAUUGUUAAGUCAGUUGUGAAAGUUUGCGGCUCAACCGUAAAAUUGCAGUUGAAACUGGCAGUCUUGAGUACAGUAGAGGUGGGCGGAAUGCGUGGUGUAGCGGUGAAAUGCUUAGAUAUCACGAAGAACUCCGAUUGCGAAGGCAGCUCACUGGACUGCAACUGACACUGAGGCUCGAAAGUGUGGGUAUCAAACAGGAUUAGAUACCCCAGUAGUC